AUUGAACGCUGGCGGCAGGCCUAACACAUGCAAGUCGAACGGUAACAGGAAGAAGCUUGCUUCUUUGCUGACGAGUGGCGGACGGGUGAGUAAUGUCUGGGAAACUGCCUGAUGGAGGGGGAUAACUACUGGAAACGGUAGCUAAUACCGCAUAAUGUCGCAAGACCAAAGAGGGGGACCUUCGGGCCUCUUGCCAUCGGAUGUGCCCAGAUGGGAUUAGCUAGUAGGUGGGGUAACGGCUCACCUAGGCGACGAUCCCUAGCUGGUCUGAGAGGAUGACCAGCCACACUGGAACUGAGACACGGUCCAGACUCCUACGGGAGGCAGCAGUGGGGAAUAUUGCACAAUGGGCGCAAGCCUGAUGCAGCUAUGCCGCGUGUAUGAAGAAGGCCUUCGGGUUGUAAAGUACUUUCAGCGGGGAGGAAGGGAGUAAAGUUAAUACCUUUGCUCAUUGACGUUUCCCGCAGAAGAAGCACCGGCUAACUCCGUG
Molecule: ribosomal RNA, 490 nt
Filed under: uncultured bacterium
Lineage: Bacteria
Description: partial 16S ribosomal RNA
Rfam family: Bacterial small subunit ribosomal RNA
Source: RNAcentral